This 789-nucleotide unclassified non-coding RNA is filed under the name Acrostalagmus luteoalbus. RNAcentral's name for it is "sequence contains 28S rRNA gene". It matches the Rfam family "Eukaryotic large subunit ribosomal RNA", at positions 83 to 900 of the family's 3401-position model. Lineage: Eukaryota; Fungi; Ascomycota; Sordariomycetes; Glomerellales; Plectosphaerellaceae. The record is from RNAcentral.
GUAACGGCGAGUGAAGCGGCAACAGCUCAAAUUUGAAAUCUGGCUCUUUCAGGGUCCGAAUUGUAAUUUGCAGAGGAUGCUUUGGGUGCGGGCGCCUUCCGAGUUCCCUGGAACGGGACGCCAUAGAGGGUGAGAGCCCCGUCUGGUAGGAUGCCCAGCCCGUGUAAAGCUCCCUCGACGAGUCGAGUAGUUUGGGAAUGCUGCUCUAAGGGGAGGUAUACUCCUUCCAAAGCUAAAUACCGGCUGGAGACCGAUAGCGCACAAGUAGAGUGAUCGAAAGAUGAAAAGCACUUUGAAAAGAGAGUCAAAUAGCACGUGAAAUUGUUGAAAGGGAAGCGCUCGCUACCAGACUUGGGUACGCGGUUCCGUAGGUGCUCCGCACCUGCGUACUCCUCGUGCCCAGGCCAGCAUCAGUUCUUCGUCGGGUUAAAAGGCUUCGGGAAUGUGGCUCGCCUCGGUGAGUGUUAUAGCCCGUUGUGUCAUGCCCGGUGGGGGACUGAGGUACGCGCUCCGCAAGGAUGCUGGCGUAAUGGUAGCUAGUGACCCGUCUUGAAACACGGACCAAGGAGUCAACCUUAUGUGCAAGUGCCCGGGCGUAAAACCCCAGCGCGGAAUGAAAGUGAACGUAGGUGAGAGCUUCGGCGCAUCACCGACCGAUCCUGAUGUCCUCGGACGGAUUUGAGUGUGAGCAUAUAGGGUUGGACCCGAAAGAAGAUGAACUAUGCGUGUGUAGGGUGAAGCCAGAGGAAACUCUGGUGGAGGCUCGCAGCGGUUCUGACGUGCAAAUCG